RNAcentral lists this long non-coding RNA (159 nucleotides) under Rhinopithecus roxellana (golden snub-nosed monkey). RNAcentral's name for it is "lncRNA (ENSRROG00000046048.1)". Lineage: Eukaryota; Metazoa; Chordata; Mammalia; Primates; Cercopithecidae. The record is from RNAcentral.
ACACGCAGUAAAAUCCUCCAAAAUCAAAUACAGCUGCUUCUGCUCCUCCUGGAAGGUGAUGAGAAGCCCCGGAGGAGAGCUGCCCUGGCAUCUGGCUUUGACCUUAGGAUGGGCGUGACCUUAGGAUGGGCGUGACCUUGGGAAGCCGUGAGAUCUCCC